Long non-coding RNA from Leptopilina heterotoma, 365 nucleotides. RefSeq lists it as uncharacterized. The transcript has 3 exons. The record is from RefSeq and is a predicted model, not a curated record. Lineage: Eukaryota; Metazoa; Arthropoda; Insecta; Hymenoptera; Figitidae.
AUUCAAUUGAAAUCCACCGCCUUCGAGAUGAGGCUUUCCAGGAUUUCCCUGAAUUCCCACCCAUACUGUGAAUGGACAAUUGUUGAUUAUUUUUAAUUGAUGAGCCGUUGAAAGGGCAAUCACCAAGAAAAGUGAUGGGGCAGAAGAUGAUGUCAUAGUUGGUGGCUGGACUAGGUCGACAGGUGAAGGUGCUGGUUUGAUCAUCGUAAGCGUAACUGGAAAAAAAGCAUCUGGACAGGCGGUCUUGAAGAUAGCUGGAUAAUUCUUGGGCCAAUCUUUACUCUUACAUGUUUGUGGUGUACCAUGAGCUCCUCGACAACAGUAUUGAUCAGUAUUGAACGCAAGACAUGCACUUUUGCAGGCCA